RNAcentral lists this ribosomal RNA (464 nucleotides) under uncultured bacterium. RNAcentral describes it as "partial 16S ribosomal RNA". It matches the Rfam family "Bacterial small subunit ribosomal RNA", at positions 28 to 506 of the family's 1533-position model. The record is from RNAcentral.
GACGAACGCUGGCGGCGUGCUUAACACAUGCAAGUCGAACGGAAAGGCCCUGCUUGCAGGGUACUCGAGUGGCGAACGGGUGAGUAACACGUGGGUGAUCUGCCCCGCACUUCGGGAUAAGCCUGGGAAACUGGGUCUAAUACCGGAUAGGAGCCAUUUUUAGUGUGAUGGUUGGAAAGUUUUUUCGGUGUAGGAUGAGCUCGCGGCCUAUCAGCUUGUUGGUGGGGUAAUGGCCUACCAAGGCGGCGACGGGUAGCCGGCCUGAGAGGGUGGACGGCCACAUUGGGACUGAGAUACGGCCCAGACUCCUACGGGAGGCAGCAGUGGGGAAUAUUGCACAAUGGGCGCAAGCCUGAUGCAGCGACGCCGCGUGGGGGAUGACGGCCUUCGGGUUGUAAACUCCUUUCGCUAGGGACGAAGCUUUUUGUGACGGUACCUAGAUAAGAAGCACCGGCUAACUACGU